This is a long non-coding RNA of Xiphophorus couchianus (Monterrey platyfish), 744 nucleotides long. RefSeq lists it as uncharacterized. Lineage: Eukaryota; Metazoa; Chordata; Actinopteri; Cyprinodontiformes; Poeciliidae. The transcript is spliced from 2 exons. The record is from RefSeq and is a predicted model, not a curated record.
GGCUGAAAUACCCCACGGACAAGAGGAAGAGGAGGAUAUUCUUCAUCUUUGACUCUGAACUGCAGCCAUAUUCGUCAGAACAAGCUAACGGCUAACGGCUAACGGCAGCGCAACACUCCAUAAAGUUCGCAGCCCUCGGACAUCAGGUGAUCAUCCAGACACUGAUGAAGCGCGUAAACAAGAUGAUUUUGAGUGUAUCAGGUGAGAUAUUGACCCAUUGAGCUUCAGCUAAUCAGAAAGUUAAAUAAAUGUUUUCCAACUUGCAGACUGUCUAGACUCAAGGCAGCCAUUUUGAAUUUUGAGGCUACAACUGGUAAAAAAAAACAAACUUUCCGAACUUCUUGGUAUUUUCAGGUGAUUUUUUAAAACUCGGGUGUCAGAAAUGUUUACUGAAACUUUACAGUAUGAAGGAAAUGAAGCUUCUUAUGGAGGAAAAACCCAAAGUUGGAAUUAAAACUGGGAAAUUUAAAGUUCUGUAAACAGCCGUAUGUUCAGAAUCCAAGAUGGCUGCUGCACAUCAAUGUAGCUGAAAUCCAGUUUGCAAGCAGCUCUGAUGGUUUGAGCUAAACAUUCCCGUCAGUGUCAGAAUGAAUAAAAUGGAGGGAAAUGUUUUCAUCCUGCUUUGCUAGUAGCCGUUAGCACCAAAACAAUUAGCUUACUGGUUGUAACUGGUGAGUUUUCCCACAUAGGGGCUCAAACUUCAGAGAUAAAACCAAAACGCAUCAUAAUGCCACGAGCGUUUAC